This 459-nucleotide ribosomal RNA is filed under the name uncultured bacterium. RNAcentral describes it as "SSU rRNA". It matches the Rfam family "Bacterial small subunit ribosomal RNA", at positions 26 to 518 of the family's 1533-position model. The record is from RNAcentral.
AGAAUCAACGCUGGCGGCGUGCCUAACACAUGCAAGUCGAACGAGAAAGUGGAGCAAUCCAUGAGUAAAGUGGCGAACGGGUGAGUAACACGUGACUAACCUACCCUUGAGUGGGGGAUAACCUAGGGAAACCUGGGCUAAUACCGCAUAAUAUCGAGAGAUCAAAGGAGCAAUUCGCUUAAGGAGGGGGUCGCGGCUGAUUAGCUAGUUGGUGAGGUAAUGGCUCACCAAGGCUAUGAUCAGUAUCCGGCCUGAGAGGGCGCACGGACACACUGGAACUGAAACACGGUCCAGACUCCUACGGGAGGCAGCAGUGGGGAAUUUUGCGCAAUGGGGGAAACCCUGACGCAGCAACGCCGCGUGGAGGAUGAAGUCCCUUGGGACGUAAACUCCUUUCGAUCGGGACGAUAAUGACGGUACCGGAAGAAGAAGCCCGGCUAACUUCGUGCCAGCAGCCGC